Molecule: ribosomal RNA, 245 nt
Filed under: uncultured bacterium
Lineage: Bacteria
Description: partial 16S ribosomal RNA
Rfam family: Bacterial small subunit ribosomal RNA
Source: RNAcentral
AUGGCGACCGGCGCACGGGUGAGUAACACGUAUCCAACCUGCCGAUAACUCCGGGAUAGCCUUUCGAAAGAAAGAUUAAUACCGGAUGGCAUACGAAUAUCGCAUGAUAUUUUUAUUAAAGAAUUUCGGUUAUCGAUGGGGAUGCGUUCCAUUAGUUUGUUGGCGGGGUAACGGCCCACCAAGACUACGAUGGAUAGGGGUUCUGAGAGGAAGGUCCCCCACAUUGGAACUGAGACACGGUCCAA